RNAcentral lists this ribosomal RNA (466 nucleotides) under uncultured bacterium. RNAcentral's name for it is "partial 16S ribosomal RNA". It matches the Rfam family "Bacterial small subunit ribosomal RNA", at positions 28 to 507 of the family's 1533-position model. The record is from RNAcentral.
GACGAACGCUGGCGGCGUGCUUAACACAUGCAAGUCGAACGAUGAAGCCCAGCUUGCUGGGUGGAUUAGUGGCGAACGGGUGAGUAACACGUGAGUAACCUGCCCUUGACUCUGGGAUAAGCCUGGGAAACUGGGUCUAAUACUGGAUAUGACUUCUCAUCGCAUGGUGGGGGGUGGAAAGAUUUAUUGGUCUUGGAUGGACUCGCGGCCUAUCAGCUUGUUGGUGAGGUAAUGGCUCACCAAGGCGACGACGGGUAGCCGGCCUGAGAGGGUGACCGGCCACACUGGGACUGAGACACGGCCCAGACUCCUACGGGAGGCAGCAGUGGGGAAUAUUGCACAAUGGGCGCAAGCCUGAUGCAGCGACGCCGCGUGGGGGAUGACGGCCUUCGGGUUGUAAACCUCUUUCAGUAGGGAAGAAGCGAGAGUGACGGUACCUGCAGAAGAAGCGCCGGCUAACUACGUG